AACAAUUUACGGCAUUUUUACGCCUGACAGUCGCCGCAGAAUAUGCGAAUCAGGUGAAUAUUUUGGGCGGGAAAAUUUAAAUGAAAAUAUCCAACAUGGCGCUUUGCUCAAGGGAUUUAAAUUAUUUGUUCAUUUUCUACUUGUUUUGUUGAAAAUGUCUGACAAAAUACACAAACUGUGUGGAUGGAGGUGUUGUCAGUAUGGACAGAAGAGAUUCUGUGCCAGGGUAGCAACGAUGAUAGCAAGACAGGCUAGACAGCUGCCUGUGGUUUGAGUCUUUGAGAGAGAUGACUUGUCAACUACCUGAAAAAAUAUACAAGCAUAACUUCGAGGGAAGGCCCUUCGUUGGGGAAGAAAUUUGCAGUGGAGGCUUUUUAAGGGUAAGGUUAGUGUGUUUUAUAGAUAGACAUGUGCCUAGAUGCAUGUGAGCAUGUCGAUAUUAAAAUUGGGUUAUUCGCCUAUUCCAUUGGCAGUGCAUUCUUGUCUGCACAGGGGGGGGGGGCAGCUUGAGAACAUUGGAAAAUCCAGGGGGAAAGUUGAUUAAUUAAAUUACCUUGGAAAUCCAGGGGUUACUAAAAGCCAGGGGAGGGUCUGUGUAUCUGGCAAUGAAAUCAUAGAAAUUCCAGGGGGAUAAUUUAACUGGUAAAAAGAUGUCCUCAACCCCCCUGUGUGGAAAAUAAAUAAAUGCAAUCUACCAUUUAAAAGAUGCACUCCUAUUUGCCUAGUACUUAGAUUUUCUAACAUUCACCCACCAAGAUCUUGUUGAAAAGUGCACAAUUCUGCAGUCCGACGGUGGUGUUGAUGCAAUAAUUUACUUUAGCAUGUGAACAUUGGAGUAGAUGCCUUGUUCUUGCUUGUCAAUACAAUUUAGCAAAUAUGCACACAAACACUUUAUUUUAUAUUAACAGUAUCAAAAUUAAUAUAUUGAAUUAAUUAAUUUACUGUUUUAGCAAUAACAUUGUCUAUAAUCACACAAAAUUAUAAAAUGUUUCAAUUAGUUCAGCAAAUUUAUAGCAUCAGAGGCUAAAUAUGAUUUUCUGAUGAGAAUCUAGACUUGCUCCAAGUCAACCUCUACUAAGCUUGCUUGAGAUAUCACAAGCAAAACUACAAAUUCCUCACUAUUUUGCAAAUUACUUCCCUCUGUUUUUGUUGCUAAUUAUGUAUAAACAGAGACGAAGGACGAUGUGAAAAGUUUAAAUGGAAUCAAAUGCUCUUGACAAGUUUCAAUGAAAGAUUCAAGAGAAUAUGAAACAUAAGAAUAUGUGAUGUUUUUGUCUGUGACCAUCAUUCGAUGCAACCAAUUAUAUAGUUACAUUAACAAAUAGUAUUCAAAUUCAAUAGUAUUAAACAGUUAACAUGCUUUUAUAAUUCCUUUUUCAAUCCUUCAAUCUCUUGAAGCAAUUCCAAGCUUCGGACCUCGUGAUCCAUGUUUUUAUUCUUACAAUUACCCAAAGUGAACUUUGUUGCACUCAAAUCCUUGGUUAGUGUAUCCUUUUCUGUUUUCAAUGAACUCAGUUCAGUUUUGGUCUCUUUCAGUUUCCUGAAAAAAUAUGAUGCAUGAUUUAGAAUGCACUGUAAACCCCAAAAUGUAAGUUUGCCACGCUCAGGCCUUCCGAGUAUAACCACCCCCCCCUCCCAAGCUUAACAAGAUAAGCAUGUUUUUUCCAUGACCUUCGUUUGCAAAUUCAUUGCAUUCACAGACCGUGUCAUUGUUUUGCUUUUUUCUAAUGACCCUGCCAGAUGCUUUGUUUACAAGCUUGACAAAUAUUUCAUUAUGAACUUUUGCACUUGCAAACGGAUAGUUUGGAACAUUUAAGCAAAAGCGUACUAUAAUAUCUAGAUAAUAUAUAAUUUAGUUCUUUUUAAAUAUUUUCAUUGUCUACUACCCACGACGUAUGAC
Molecule: long non-coding RNA, 1900 nt
Filed under: Paramuricea clavata
Lineage: Eukaryota; Metazoa; Cnidaria; Anthozoa; Malacalcyonacea; Plexauridae
Source: RNAcentral